RNAcentral lists this ribosomal RNA (202 nucleotides) under Staphylococcus epidermidis. RNAcentral describes it as "partial 16S ribosomal RNA". It matches the Rfam family "Bacterial small subunit ribosomal RNA", at positions 1 to 197 of the family's 1533-position model. The record is from RNAcentral. Lineage: Bacteria; Bacillati; Bacillota; Bacilli; Caryophanales; Staphylococcaceae.
UUUAUGGAGAGUUUGAUCCUGGCUCAGGAUGAACGCUGGCGGCGUGCCUAAUACAUGCAAGUCGAGCGAACAGAUGAGGAGCUUGCUCCUCUGACGUUAGCGGCGGACGGGUGAGUAACACGUGGAUAACCUACCUAUAAGACUGGGAUAACUUCGGGAAACCGGAGCUAAUACCGGAUAAUAUAUUGAACCGCAUGGUUCA